GACAGAGGGGGCAAGCGUUGCUCGGAAUUACUGGGCGUAAAGGGCGCGUAGGCGGGAUGGCAAGUCGGUCGUGAAAUCCCUCGGCUCAACCGAGGAACGUCGAUCGAUACUGCUGUUCUUGAGGAUUGCAGAGGAGACUGGAAUUCCCGGUGUAGCGGUGAAAUGUGUAGAGAUCGGGAGGAACACCUGUGGCGAAAGCGGCGCACUGGACCACAACUGACGCUGAGGCGCGAAAGCUAGGGGAGCAAACAGG
RNAcentral lists this ribosomal RNA (253 nucleotides) under uncultured bacterium. RNAcentral describes it as "partial 16S ribosomal RNA". It matches the Rfam family "Bacterial small subunit ribosomal RNA", at positions 524 to 776 of the family's 1533-position model. The record is from RNAcentral.